Molecule: long non-coding RNA, 1422 nt
Organism: Diachasmimorpha longicaudata
Lineage: Eukaryota; Metazoa; Arthropoda; Insecta; Hymenoptera; Braconidae
Exons: 5
Source: RefSeq, a predicted model, not a curated record
GAUAAUUAAAAAAAUCAUCUCAAGCAUAUGUCGAUACAGAAGUGAAAUGCUACACGAAUUCGUGGAGAACUACAGAUCAUAUGGAAAUUGCUUUUUUUACUUCUUUGUUCGUCUUCUUGCAAAUAAAAUGAAAAGACUCUUUCGUUGUUUUCUGUCUCCCGGAUGUGAACGUCUUGUCGAGCCCAAUAACAGAACAAAGAAAAUGAAUACUAUAUUACCCUGCAGGUUCAGAGUGUGGAAAAAUCCCACUUACGAAUACUACAGUCAAAUUACCAAACGUCUCAGAGUAGAAAUGGAUUACAAUAUUUAUAAUACAUAUGUAUGUUGUAAAUUAUUCACUUUGCAGGAGAUCGUUUGUCACCGAAAACUCUUGUUCUUUGAAGUUUCAUCUACAAUUGAACAGUGAUUUCAAAAUUCAGAGUGAGACACGAACACCAGGGGAAACCACUUUCGAAAUCAUUCUGUCAAUAACAACCUGCGGUGUUUUGAGGUGCAGCCACCAGCAAGAGAACUAUAGGUCUGGAGAGCUGGACCUCGGACAAUUGUAGAAUAAUAGACGAGGGAAACAUAUCGUCGUUCACUGAAGAUUACUUGACGUGACCAGAAUCCCAUUAAACCUGCACUCCGUACCAUUUGGUCUCCAUCACGUGUUUGUCAAAUUCCUCGCGAAGUAUGGCGCACAUAUGGUGACCAGUUCUGGCAAAAUCUGGUCGACAGGAGAGGUAUGCAGCCCUUCACGCAAAUACAGGUUUCGCUGGACACAGUCACUUUGACAUAAUUCUUCGAAGUUCUACUUAAUCUCUGCAAAUAUAUCUGCAGACCAUUUGGCCACCCGAGGUGGCAAUGCACAACUAUAUCAGAGGGUUCACCAAACAUGAUAAGCAGCGGGGGAGGGCAGGUAUGGCAGCCAGAGGCCUCUGAAAACAUCUGAAAUUGUGAUCAAGUCAUGUUACAGGAUAAGUUACGAGAUACGAUAGAACUAAAUCUCAGUCGAGGACGGAAAACCUUACGGAGAUGGUUCCCUAGUGAUCGAGAAAUGGAAUAUUGAAAGGAUUUAUCUCUAUUGCAAUCGCUUACUGUUCGUCUUCUAUACAAUACGUUCUCGAAAAAUUAUGCAUCAGUGGAUAGUUUUUUUUAAAAAUAGUGUGACAGAUGUAUAAAGUAUGUAUUAGCAAACUAGGACUCAAACCGCUGUUGUAUAAGAUGUAAAACCCAUACGUGGGGGAAAUCUAUCUAUAGACCAUUUUGAAGUGUGUUAAUAGUUCUGCAAAAUGGUGUACGAUAAAUCCACUUUCAUUGGAUUUCCGUCGAGUUAUUGUACGUUAUUUCCAUUUGUUACGUUAUAUCACAAUUGAAAAAUGAUAGUUUUUGCCAAUUAUUGAGAUUGUAGAUUCAACCAGUGGGAAUAUACCAUAUAUCAGA